Molecule: long non-coding RNA, 368 nt
Filed under: Manihot esculenta (cassava)
Lineage: Eukaryota; Viridiplantae; Streptophyta; Magnoliopsida; Malpighiales; Euphorbiaceae
Description: long non-coding RNA (MESC_LNC009620)
Source: RNAcentral
GCGCGUCUGAUGGUAAUUGAAGUGAAUUAUUACGCAUGAUGUUUCAAAAUUGUAAUUUUUGUAUUUAUUUGAUAUAUUUAUAUUUAUUAUUAAGUUAUAUAACUUAGUUUUGAUUGCACCUUUAAAUAUUUUUGCUAAUUUCAUGAAUUUCGCUGACGGACAGUUACUGUUUUGUUACGACAGUUAAAGGCUGUUUUUAGAAGAAAAUCACCAGAGAUGAUAGUUGUGAAAAGCGUGCCUCAUACACGAGGCAAGCUAGGCUCAGGUUGCAUCACCUACGAGCCCUACAAGCGAGCGAAGUUGUGAAGGCGCACCAGGCACAAGGCCCAUUGGUCCAAGGCGCACUAUACACAAAUUUUCAAUCCCUC